Molecule: ribosomal RNA, 484 nt
Filed under: uncultured bacterium
Lineage: Bacteria
Description: partial 16S ribosomal RNA
Rfam family: Bacterial small subunit ribosomal RNA
Source: RNAcentral
AUUGAACGCUGGCGGCAGGCCUAACACAUGCAAGUCGAGCGGAUGAAGGGAGCUUGCUCCUGGAUUCAGCGGCGGACGGGUGAGUAAUGCCUAGGAAUCUGCCUGGUAGUGGGGGAUAACGUCCGGAAACGGGCGCUAAUACCGCAUACGUCCUGAUGGAGAAAGUGGGGGAUCUUCGGACCUCACGCUAUCAGAUGAGCCUAGGUCGGAUUAGCUAGUUGGUGGGGUAAAGGCCUACCAAGGCGACGAUCCGUAACUGGUCUGAGAGGAUGAUCAGUCACACUGGAACUGAGACACGGUCCAGACUCCUACGGGAGGCAGCAGUGGGGAAUAUUGGACAAUGGGCGAAAGCCUGAUCCAGCCAUGCCGCGUGUGUGAAGAAGGUCUUCGGAUUGUAAAGCACUGUAAGUUGGGAGGAAGGGCAGUGAGUUAAUACCUGGCUGUUUUGACGUUACCAACAGAAUAAGCACCGGCUAACUUCGUG